UACGGAGGAUACGAGCGUUAUCCGGAUUUAUUGGGUUUAAAGGGUGCGCAGGCGGGAGAUUAAGUCGGCGGUGAAAUUUUGCAGCUCAACUGUAAAAGUGCCUUCGAAACUGGUUUCCUUGAGUGUAGAUGAAGUAGGCGGAAUUUGUGGUGUAGCGGUGAAAUGCAUAGAUAUCACGAGGAACUCCGAUUGCGCAGGCAGCUUACUAAUCCAUCAUUGACGCUGAGGCACGAAAGCGUGGGGAUCAAACAGGAUUAGAUA
RNAcentral lists this ribosomal RNA (261 nucleotides) under uncultured prokaryote. Its description in RNAcentral is "partial 16S ribosomal RNA". It matches the Rfam family "Bacterial small subunit ribosomal RNA", at positions 524 to 784 of the family's 1533-position model. The record is from RNAcentral.